UGGGGAAUAUUGCACAAUGGGGGAAACCCUGAUGCAGCGACGCCGCGUGCGGGAUGAAGGCCUUCGGGUUGUAAACCGCUUUCAGCAGGGACGAAUUCAGACGGUACCUGCAGAAGAAGCGCCGGCUAACUACGUGCCAGCAGCCGCGGUAAUACGUAGGGCGCAAGCGUUGUCCGGAAUUAUUGGGCGUAAAGAGCUCGUAGGCGGCUUGUUGCGUCCGCUGUGAAAUCCCGGGGCUUAACCCUGGGCGUGCAGUGGAUACGGGCAGGCUGGAGGCAGGCAGGGGAGAACGGAAUUCCCGGUGUAGCGGUGAAAUGCGCAGAUAUCGGGAGGAACACCGGUGGCGAAGGCGGUUCUCUGGGCCUGUUCUGACGCUGAGGAGCGAAAGCGUGGGGAGCAAACAGGAUUAGAUACCCCCGUAGUCC
Molecule: ribosomal RNA, 425 nt
Filed under: uncultured bacterium
Lineage: Bacteria
Description: bacterial SSU rRNA
Rfam family: Bacterial small subunit ribosomal RNA
Source: RNAcentral